Oreochromis niloticus (Nile tilapia) is the source of this 515-nucleotide long non-coding RNA. RefSeq lists it as uncharacterized. Lineage: Eukaryota; Metazoa; Chordata; Actinopteri; Cichliformes; Cichlidae. The record is from RefSeq and is a predicted model, not a curated record. The transcript has 3 exons.
UGAAGGUAGAAAGUGUGUGUGAGCUGAUGUGGAUGUGAAUUCUUUGGGUGAAUUCUGAGCUUUUUGUGGAUACCAUACAUGUCCAUGUUUGCAUAAAAGACCUGACAGUUGGAGGGUUAAACUGCAGUUCACCCCCUUUGCCCCUGCUACUGGGGGCGCUGGGGCUCAAGAGAUCAAAGAUGGAAAAAUCUGUUGAGGAGCAGUUGCUGAACAUGCUGGAAGAUUUGGGAGAAGAGGAGCUGAAACUUUUCCACUGGUACCUGGAGAAAGCACCCGGAGGUGAUUUCACAACCAUCAAAAAGAGCCGACUGGAGAACGCAAGGAAGGAUGGACGUCAUGAAACCGUGAAUCUUAUGGUGGAGACAUACACUACUCACCAUGUAAUGGAGGUGGCGGAGUUGAUUUUAAAGAAGAUGAAUGAAGGGAAACCCUCAGGCCAGGCAUCUUCAUCCUUUUUAUCACAAGGUAAUAAUUCCUUAGUUUGUCUCAGGAGCCAUUGCUAAAGUAGAAACACA